AGGUGUUGUAGGAGGGAAAGGGUGUCUUGGUGACAGGACUCUGAAGAAGGGCUGCAGAGGAGAUCGUCUGUAUAUUAUAAUAGCAGGAAAUGGUGCGUUGAAAGGAGAGGAGGUGGUGGACAGGGGCUUGGCUGAAAUAAGGACGGCUAUCUUGAAAGCCUUGAGGCAGUACUGUCCAGGGUACAGAAGACACUUUGGAUUCUUCACCUGGGAGCCAGUGAACGAUCAACCCAUUAAAGCUAGCACCACCUGAAUUGUUUGAAGAACAAGAUCGCCCAAAAGGAAAAAGCUACUCCUGUGAGCCUCUGGAAGACCUGAGAUAUCUUUUUAAAAAGCAAGCCUGCAGUCCAGCUACAAGCAAGAAAACAAGAUUUUGCUAAGGCCCCAAUUCUAAGACUCUUGGCAUCUGACAUACCCCUAACAUACAUUCUUCUGUACAGAAAAUGAGGAGAUCUGACCUGCUCCUCACAUUUGGGGUAAUGGUAAAGUUUCUUUCUCCCAUUACACAGGCAGCUUGGUGAUCACUAACUCUUCUAAUUAUUUUCGGACAGGUUUUUCUGCUGUCAACCCAGCCAGUGAGCCACAAUACCCCAAGGUAGCUGGAGGUUACAGUUGAUCACUAAAAUUCAUGGGGGUUACAUUCCUAGAACACCUG
Molecule: long non-coding RNA, 655 nt
Filed under: Heterocephalus glaber (naked mole-rat)
Lineage: Eukaryota; Metazoa; Chordata; Mammalia; Rodentia; Bathyergidae
Description: lncRNA (ENSHGLG00000038442.1)
Source: RNAcentral